UACGUAGGGGGCAAGCGUUGUCCGGAAUUAUUGGGCGUAAAGAGCGCGUAGGCGGUCCGAUAAGUCGGCUGUGAAAGUCAAGGGCUCAACCCUUGAAAGCCGGCCGAUACUGUCGGACUAGAGUCCGGAAGAGGCGAGUGGAAUUCCCGGUGUAGCGGUGAAAUGCGCAGAUAUCGGGAGGAACACCUGAGGUGAAGACGGGUUGCUGGGCUGACACUGACGCUGAGGCGCGAAAGCCAGGGGAGCAAACGGG
RNAcentral lists this ribosomal RNA (253 nucleotides) under uncultured bacterium. Its description in RNAcentral is "partial 16S ribosomal RNA". It matches the Rfam family "Bacterial small subunit ribosomal RNA", at positions 524 to 776 of the family's 1533-position model. The record is from RNAcentral.